This 75-nucleotide transfer RNA is filed under the name Lamprotornis superbus. Its description in RNAcentral is "tRNA-OTHER". The stretch from base 8 to 70 matches the Rfam family "tRNA", at positions 6 to 65 of the family's 71-position model. Rfam says of the family: Transfer RNA (tRNA) molecules are approximately 80 nucleotides in length. Their secondary structure includes four short double-helical elements and three loops (D, anti-codon, and T loops). Further hydrogen bonds mediate the characteristic L-shaped molecular structure. tRNAs have two regions of fundamental functional importance: the anti-codon, which is responsible for specific mRNA codon recognition, and the 3' end, to which the tRNAs corresponding amino acid is attached (by aminoacyl-tRNA synthetases). tRNAs cope with the degeneracy of the genetic code in two manners: having more than one tRNA (with a specific anti-codon) for a particular amino acid; and 'wobble' base-pairing, i.e. permitting non-standard base-pairing at the 3rd anti-codon position. Lineage: Eukaryota; Metazoa; Chordata; Aves; Passeriformes; Sturnidae. The record is from RNAcentral.
GCCUGAAAUUAGCUCAGUUGGUUAGAGCAUGGUGCCAAUAACACCAAGGUUGUGAGUUCAAUCCCUGUAUGGGCC